UUGACCUCAGCAGGAUUCGAACCCUGAACCUAAACGGCCGUAACCAUGUUUCGUUUCGUUUAUUCAAGAUAACCAAAUCUAGUUUUGAAUAACAUUCCCGUUUUCAGCUUCCCAAUAUUUCCAAUCUAGUACUUAUAUGUGCUUACAGCGAAAGAUGAUCACCUACAUGAGUCAUUGACUGUUAUUUCAACUGGAUCGUCCCUGGGACAUUGAAAGACAGCAGUUGACCUCAGCAGGAUUCGAACCCUGAACAUAAACGGCCGUAACCAUGCACCUCUCUAUUUUCCGAGUUCAUCCACGGCUAUUCGAACUGCAGUUGAUAUAAACUCUGCCAAAUCAGAUUGGAGCCUGGUGUAGCCAUCUGGUUUUACCAGUCCUCAGUCAAAUCGUCCAACCCAUGCUAGCAUAGAAAGCGGACGUUAAACGACGAUGAUGAUGAUGAUGAAGAAGACUUAAAUAUAAGCAGCCAGAAUUGUUAGCAUGCCAGAUGGUUGAUACAGAAGAAACAUUUCAACACACAUUCGUUUGGAAUUAUUUUUAUGUAUAGCUUAACCCCGAAAUAGAAAAUACCCAAUCAUGAAAAGCGAGAACGUCAUUGCACUGAAGCAACCACGAUUCUGGCCAAAGCUGGGCGUGGCAUGGUUCGCAAAAGCUGAAACAGAUUUCAACAUCAAGAAGAUCACUUCGGGCCUGACAAAACAUUCCUACGUAACAGUAAUCCUGAAUGAGGAUAUAACAACAAGGAUGCUAGACAUCCUAACUAGACCACCGGCUACAAAUAGACUCCGAGAAAGAUUCCGGCUUCUGAACCAAUGGACAAGAAUCUGGCAUUAGUGCCCGUUGAAAAUCAAAGAAUAUUGGACUAAAAUAAUUGCUUACAUCAGAUGCAACAUCAAUAUUUAUCAUCUCUUAAAGAUUGAUGGAAGAUGUACAGAUGAGACUCAACUUCACUUUAAUAAAUCUACAGAAGAAUUAUUCAGAAAUAUUUUCACUAGCAUCAUUUGUUUUUCUUUUGCUGUAUAGAAUGAAUGUGUAUAAGUUGAUUUUUGGCAUACUAAUUAAAGUUGGAAAAUUUCUCAAAUGUGUUAACAUCUUUAUGUAAUCAACAGCAAUAGAAUUUCUUAUGGGUAAAAUAUAAAAAUGAAAAGAAGAGACAUGGUAUAUUGUAGUGAGAGAAGAAAUAAUGUGGAGAAUGAAUUAUGUGAGAAUGAUUUGAGAAAAAUAAAUUUUAUUGAUGAGAUGAGGAAAGAGAGAGAAAACCUCAUACCAUUGUGAUACCUGUAAACAGUUAUUUUCUGAAAAAUGUAACCUCACUACUCACAAAUGCAUUCUUAUAGGAUUAUUAUAUCAUUAUGAUAUUUGUGGUACAUUGUCCUCUCAUGAAUCUAACUUAACUAAACACAAAUGCAUUCUUACAGGAGAGAAACGAUAUUGCUGAUAUCGGCUGUAAAUUAUUCUUUUGUGUAAUUACCUUAACUUACCACAAAUGUAUUCACAUUGGUGAAAAACCAUAUCACUAAUAUUUGUUGAUGGGUCAAACUUAACUAACUUUUCUGAUGGGUCAAAUUUAACUAAAUACAAAUGCAUUCAUACAGGAGAGAAACCAUAUCAAUGUAAUAUUUAUGGCAAAUCAUUUUCUUAAACAAGCAGGUUAGCUAGUCACAUAUACGUUCACACAGGAGAGAAACCAUAUCACUGUAAUAACUGAUAAAUCUUUUUUGGAGAGAAACCAUAUUUCUGUAACAGCUGUGAUAAAUCAUUCUCUCAUAGAAGUUGAUUAACUGAACUCUAACACGUUCAUACAGGGGAGAAACAAUAUUACUGUGAAAUCUGUGGUAAAUCCUCUCAAAACAGUACCUUAACAAACCAUAUACGAAUUCAUACAGGUAAAAGACUAUGUCAUUGUGAUAUUUGCAGUAAAUCAUUCUCUCAAAGAAGCAACUUAACUAGACAUGCAUUCAUAAAAAGAGUAACAAUAUCAACAAAAGUCAUUCUAUGAAAAAUAUCUUAUUUAACCAGAAUCAUGUUCAUUGUUUUUCAUAUAAGUAUAGCUAUAGCUACAUUAGUGAGAUAAUUUACUUCUGUGACAUUAUUUUUAAUAAAAUAUGCUUUCAGAAUAUUCAUAUAUAUAUAUUUCACUUAUUUAUUUUAUAUUUAUGUUGUGAACAAUGUCACAACUUGACAUUGUUGACAAGGGGCUUUGAGUUGGUAAGCUAGAAGUUCGUAUAAUGAGAAUGUCAAGUCUAACUCAAUAUUACAAGAGACCUCAUUAAAAAGUAAAUCACUUCUAUAUCCUCACUGGUGUCUCUGUUUUUGCCUUCUUCAACAUUACUGAUAUAUUACCUAUGAACCCACUGUUACUGAGUAAAUUGGACAUGUAAGCAAAAAGUUACAUAAAUUAGUCAAGAUAGUGUGUAUAAGUUGUGUAAUAAAUUCAAUAUUAAAACAUUUAAA
Molecule: RNA transcript, 2454 nt
Organism: Octopus bimaculoides (California two-spot octopus)
Lineage: Eukaryota; Metazoa; Mollusca; Cephalopoda; Octopoda; Octopodidae
Source: RefSeq, a predicted model, not a curated record